Molecule: long non-coding RNA, 663 nt
Filed under: Salmo salar (Atlantic salmon)
Lineage: Eukaryota; Metazoa; Chordata; Actinopteri; Salmoniformes; Salmonidae
Description: lncRNA (ENSSSAG00000106252.1)
Source: RNAcentral
CUUGCGGUGGGGUCUGUGUGUGCAUGUGUGUGAGCUUGCGGUGGGGUCUGUGUGUGAUCUUGCGGUGGGGUCUGUGUGUGUGUGUGUGUGUGUGUGUGUCCCAACAAUGUGUGUUCUCUCAUGUCUAGGAUGUGAAGGCCAUAGUGACUCGUUUUACAGUGUGUGUGUGUGUGUGUGACGUGAAAUAUGGGUGCCAUGAGGGGUAACUAUAGAGGAGGUGUAGAGGAGCCUCAACAACCUAUUAAUAACACUGCAGGAGGUCUCUGGAGGUCUCAGGAAAACUCAGGUGGGUUUCAGGGGGUCUCUGGAGGUCUCUGAAGGUCUCUGGAGGUCUCAGGAAAACUCAGGCGGGUUUCGGGGUCUCAGGAGGUUUUAGAAGUCUCUGGAGGUCUCUGGGUCUCAGGUCUCAGGAAGUAUCAGAAGGUAUCAGGGGUUUUCAGGAAGUAUCAGAAGGUAUCAGGGGUUCUCAGGAAGUAUCAGAAGGUAUCAGGGGGUCUCAGGAAGUAUCAGAAGGUAUCAGGGGUUUUCAGGAAGUAUCAGAAGGUAUCAGGGGUUCUCAGGAAGUAUCAGAAGGUAUCAGGGGUUUUCAGGAAGUAUCAGAAGGUAUCAGGGGUUCUCAGGAAGUAUCAGAAGGUAUCAGGGGUUUUCAGGAAGUAUCAGAAG